UUAACAUGAUGAAAAAAUAUAUUAACACAGACCUGUACUGAACUUUUCGAAGUUUUGCAGAUAACAAUAUUGCUUUUUUUCUCUGACU
Molecule: small nucleolar RNA, 88 nt
Organism: Saccharomyces cerevisiae S288C
Lineage: Eukaryota; Fungi; Ascomycota; Saccharomycetes; Saccharomycetales; Saccharomycetaceae
Source: Ensembl